AACUCAUUGUCUAAACACUGUAAUCGUGGAGGAUAUCAAAACUUGGCAAAGUGGAGAAGAUUGUUCUGUGCCAUGCAUCAUGAGGUCAUGACCAUCAGUGAAGACUGUCAGAGCCCUCAGUGGCCAGAUGACCCGCGUGCAUCAACUGGCGUGGUGUCACUGAAUUGGAGAUCUCUCCUUGUGUUCCAGGAGUAAACACAUGGAAGAUGUCAUAGACACACAGAAGGGAAUGCUGUGUGAGGUCGUAGCGAGGACUCUCCUCUUCAGACCAGGGCAGGGAACCCAGCACACCAGAGGGAUAUGGCACCUGCAUAACUGCUUCAGUGUUUUUGUUAUUAUUGUUGUUUUUUAUCAAAAUAAAGCAUUGUUUGCUUUGAUUCUCAUUCAGAAUUUUCUUGAAGAUACAUUCCAUCCUUUGAAUUAUAGAAAAUUCCUGUAUUUCAAUGAGGCGAGGACAUAUUCACAGGAAAAUGGAGUUCCCUUAUACGUAUGAAUCUUCUUGUGUCCAUUAAGGAGAUAUGGCAAGACAAACUUUUCCUCAGCACACUCCACAGACAUCCACUGUUAACUCUUCCUGCUUCCAAUGUCCUAGUUCAACAUGUCAGUUCUGGCACUCCAAAAAAUUCUAGAUGGAAGGCCUGUUCCAGGAGGGAACUCCUACCAUGGAAACUACGGUGUGAUAUGAACGAGGUGUGACAGACAGCGAGGAACCCAGAGAGGCCGGGUGGAUCACAGUCCUCUCUGUCUCCAAAGUCUCUGCCAGGUACGGCAAACAAUUAUUUACCAAACAUUUACUUUCCCAUCUCCACAUGAAUUGACCCUGGAAGUCCCAGACCCCCACCGCCAACAUCCCCUGUGUCUUCAGCUUGAGUUGGUAAUUAAGGUGGUGGCUUCAGCCGUUUUGGUGAGUUACUCAGUUUUCCUAGGUUUCUCCCAUGCAUACAUGUUAUUAAACUUUGUUUUCUUUUUCUCCUUUUUUCUGUCUUAUGUCAGUUUAACUCUUAGAACAGCCAGAAGAACCUAGAAGAAUAGAGGGAAAAUUCUUCCCCCCCAUCCUAUGUAGGGAUUCAGCUUCUAAUAGCCCCUUCUUUCCGGAUUUUGAGCCUCUGGCUGCAG
RNAcentral lists this long non-coding RNA (1116 nucleotides) under Equus caballus (horse). Its description in RNAcentral is "lncRNA (ENSECAG00000044386.1)". The record is from RNAcentral. Lineage: Eukaryota; Metazoa; Chordata; Mammalia; Perissodactyla; Equidae.